RNAcentral lists this transfer RNA (77 nucleotides) under Gordonibacter pamelaeae. RNAcentral describes it as "tRNA-Met". It matches the Rfam family "tRNA". Rfam says of the family: Transfer RNA (tRNA) molecules are approximately 80 nucleotides in length. Their secondary structure includes four short double-helical elements and three loops (D, anti-codon, and T loops). Lineage: Bacteria; Bacillati; Actinomycetota; Coriobacteriia; Eggerthellales; Eggerthellaceae. The record is from RNAcentral. RNAcentral also lists the same sequence under 10 other names.
UGCGGGGUGGAGCAGUCUGGUAGCUCGUCGGGCUCAUAACCCGAAGGUCGUUGGUUCGAAUCCAGCCCCCGCGACCA